GACGUAGGGGGCCAGCGUUGUUCGGAAUUACUGGGUGUAAAGGGUUCGUAGGCGGUGCGGCAAGUUGGGAGUGAAAUCUCUGGGCUUAACCCAGAGGCUGCUUCCAAAACUGCUGUGCUUGAGUGUGGGAGAGGCGCGUGGAAUUGCAGGUGUAGCGGUGAAAUGCGUAGAUAUCCGGAGGAACACCGGUGGCGAAGGCGGCUUCCUGGACCGACACUGACGCUGAGGCGCGAAAGCCAGGGGAGCAAACGGG
Molecule: ribosomal RNA, 253 nt
Filed under: uncultured bacterium
Lineage: Bacteria
Description: partial 16S ribosomal RNA
Rfam family: Bacterial small subunit ribosomal RNA
Source: RNAcentral